This is a non-coding RNA of Paramuricea clavata, 153 nucleotides long. The record is from the annotation of a GenBank genome assembly. Lineage: Eukaryota; Metazoa; Cnidaria; Anthozoa; Malacalcyonacea; Plexauridae.
AAAAAUUAGUUGGCUCGAGCGGGAUUUGAACUUGCAUCUUCGGGUAUCUAGACUCGCUACCCAUCCCUGUUGACUCGAUAGGUCAAUAGGUAGAGCGGCGGUCUAGAUAGCCGAAGGUGCAAGUUCAAAUCCCGCUCGAGCCAACGAAUUUUU